CCAAUGAACCCCCGGGGUCGAGUUUGCAAAAAUUCCUCUGGGUUUAAACCACUGUGCACCGUAUGUUUUUUGGGAGAGUGGGUAUCCUUCUCCCAGCGUAACAAACCUUUAAUUUGAGCUGAAUUUUUGUAUGAAAGUGA
RNAcentral lists this unclassified non-coding RNA (140 nucleotides) under uncultured fungus. Its description in RNAcentral is "sequence contains ITS1, 5.8S rRNA gene". The record is from RNAcentral. Lineage: Eukaryota; Fungi.